AGCAGCCGCGGUAAUUCCAGCUCCAAUAGCGUAUAUUAAAGUUGUUGCAGUUAAAAGCUCGUAGUUGAAUUUCGGGGUUAGUAGGUUGGUCAUGCCUCUGGUAUGUACUGGUCUCACUGAUUCCUCCUUCCUGAUGAACCGUAAUGCCAUUAAUUUGGUGUUGCGGGGAAUUUGGACUGUUACUUUGAAAAAUUAGAGUGUUAAAGCAAGCUAACGCUUGAAUACAUUAGCAUGGAAUAAUGAAAUAGGACGUUCGAUCCUAUUUUGUUGGUUUCUAGGAUUGACGUAAUGAUUAAUAGGGGAUAGUUGGGGGGCAUUAGUAUUCAAUUGUCAGAGGUGAAAUUCUUGGAUUUUAUUGGAAGACUAACUACUGCGAAAGCAUUUUGCCAAGGAUGUUUUCAUUAAUCAAGAACGAAGUUAGGGGAUCGAAGACGAUCAGAUACCGUCGUAAUCUUAACCAUAAACUAUGCCGACUAGGGAUCGGAUGAUGUUAAUUUUUUAAUGACUCAUUCGGCGCCUU
RNAcentral lists this ribosomal RNA (520 nucleotides) under uncultured Glomus. RNAcentral describes it as "SSU rRNA". It matches the Rfam family "Eukaryotic small subunit ribosomal RNA", at positions 569 to 1089 of the family's 1831-position model. Lineage: Eukaryota; Fungi; Glomeromycota; Glomeromycetes; Glomerales; Glomeraceae. The record is from RNAcentral.